AUUGAACGCUGGCGGCAUGCCUUACACAUGCAAGUCGAACGGUAACAGGUCUUCGGAUGCCGACGAGUGGCGAACGGGUGAGUAAUACAUCGGAACGUGCCUAGUAGUGGGGGAUAACUACUCGAAAGAGUGGCUAAUACCGCAUGAGAUCUACGGAUGAAAGCAGGGGAUCGCAAGACCUUGUGCUACUAGAGCGGCCGAUGGCAGAUUAGGUAGUUGGUGGGAUAAAAGCUUACCAAGCCGACGAUCUGUAGCUGGUCUGAGAGGACGAUCAGCCAAACUGGGACUGAGGAACGGCCCAGACUCCUACGGGAGGCAGCAGUGGGGAAUUUUGGACAAUGGGCGCAAGCCUGAUCCAGCAAUGCCGCGUGCAGGAUGAAGGCCUUCGGGUUGUAAACUGCUUUUGUACGGAACGAAAAGCCCCGGGUUAAUACCCUGGGGUCAUGACGGUACCGUAAGAAUAAGCACCGGCUAACUACGUGCCAGCAGCCGCGGUAA
RNAcentral lists this ribosomal RNA (498 nucleotides) under uncultured bacterium. Its description in RNAcentral is "partial 16S ribosomal RNA". It matches the Rfam family "Bacterial small subunit ribosomal RNA", at positions 30 to 523 of the family's 1533-position model. The record is from RNAcentral.